CAGGGGUUGAACCCGGUUCAGGGAACAGAACCGAAUACCAGAGAUGAACAAAAAAAAUAUCGAGGAACCGUUCUGGAACAGAACUGUUAUUUUAAAAGCAUGGGAACCGGUUAAUAAUGUUCUGGCCAUUUUUUUCUAGUCCCAUAAAAGACCUCUCUGUCACUCAGAAACUUAUUCCAGUGUCUGCCUGCCUGCCAGCUGAACAUAUUUGCCAGUGCUUCUGUGUGUAGGCUACCUGCCCCUCCCUCUGAAACACAGUCUACUGUAGCCUACUGACAUUACAUACGUGAUUCAGAAAUUAGAGAGAUUUUUUUAUUAGAGAAGACCGGAUUAACCUUUUCAAUGCUACUUAAAAAAUGUACUAUAGUUCACGUUUCAAAUUGGAUUUAUAAAGUACGAAAAGAUACUAACUGCACUGGCAGCACCCCCCCGCACAGGUGGCUGGCUACGAUAACACACCCAAACACACACACUGAAACCCUCUAAACACACACACAUCCAAACACACACACUGAAACUCUCUAACCACACACACCAGCAUAGAGAACAAAGAACUCUGUCAAGAACCAAAGGGAUACUGACACUAGGCUGGAGAGGACUGUCUAUCACCUACAAGCAACCUACCAGAAGCCAGGACUACCAGAAUCUACCUACGUCAUUCUAUGUAUUAAUUCUGAUGCACGCUUUGUCUUCGGGGCGCGUUCCAGCUGUCUCUCUCUGAGUCAAGUGUGAAUGAGCCCGUGCACGCCUGAGCAAUACUUUUUCACUGAAUAAACAGCCUACAUAUAUUUUA
Long non-coding RNA from Oncorhynchus tshawytscha (Chinook salmon), 793 nucleotides. RefSeq lists it as uncharacterized. Lineage: Eukaryota; Metazoa; Chordata; Actinopteri; Salmoniformes; Salmonidae. The transcript has 2 exons. The record is from RefSeq and is a predicted model, not a curated record.